UACGUAGGCAGCGAGCGUUGUUCGGAGUUACUGGGCGUAAAGGGCGUGUAGGCGGUUCUUUAAGUUUGGUGUGAAAUCUCCCGGCUCAACCGGGAGGGUGCGCCGAAUACUGAGGGACUUGGAGUGCGGGAGAGGAAAGUGGAAUUCCUGGUGUAGCGGUGAAAUGCGUAGAUAUCAGGAGGAACACCGGUGGCGUAGACGGCUUUCUGGACCGUAACUGACGCUGAGACACGAAAGCGUGGGUAGCAAACAGG
Molecule: ribosomal RNA, 254 nt
Filed under: uncultured bacterium
Lineage: Bacteria
Description: partial 16S ribosomal RNA
Rfam family: Bacterial small subunit ribosomal RNA
Source: RNAcentral